UGGGGAAUUUUGGACAAUGGGCGAAAGCAUGAUCCAGCAAUGCCGCGUGUGUGAAGAAGGCCUUCGGGUUGUAAAGCACUUUUGUCCGGAAAGAAAUGGCUCUGGUUAAUACCUGGGGUCGAUGACGGUACCGGAAGAAUAAGGACCGGCUAACUACGUGCCAGCAGCCGCGGUAAUACGUAGGGUCCAAGCGUUAAUCGGAAUUACUGGGCGUAAAGCGUGCGCAGGCGGUUGUGCAAGACCGAUGUGAAAUCCCCGAGCUUAACUUGGGAAUUGCAUUGGUGACUGCACGGCUAGAGUGUGUCAGAGGGGGGUAGAAUUCCACGUGUAGCAGUGAAAUGCGCAGAGAUGUGGAGGAAUACCGAUGGCGAAGGCAGCCCCCUGGGAUAACACUGACGCUCAUGCACGAAAGCGUGGGGAGCAAACAGG
This 429-nucleotide ribosomal RNA is filed under the name bacterium. RNAcentral's name for it is "partial 16S ribosomal RNA". It matches the Rfam family "Bacterial small subunit ribosomal RNA", at positions 355 to 776 of the family's 1533-position model. The record is from RNAcentral.